Molecule: ribosomal RNA, 403 nt
Filed under: uncultured bacterium
Lineage: Bacteria
Also listed under: 1 other name
Description: bacterial SSU rRNA
Rfam family: Bacterial small subunit ribosomal RNA
Source: RNAcentral
UGGGGAAUAUUGCACAAUGGGCGAAAGCCUGAUGCAGCAACGCCGCGUGAGCGAUGAAGGCCUUCGGGUCGUAAAGCUCUGUCCUAUGGGAAGAUAAUGACGGUACCAUAGGAGGAAGCCCCGGCUAACUACGUGCCAGCAGCCGCGGUAAUACGUAGGGGGCAAGCGUUAUCCGGAAUUACUGGGCGUAAAGGGUGCGUAGGCGGUUUAUCAAGUCAGGGGUGAAAGGCUACGGCUCAACCGUAGUGAGCCUCUGAAACUGGUGAACUUGAGUGUAGGAGAGGAAAGUGGAAUUCCCAGUGUAGCGGUGAAAUGCGUAGAUAUUGGGAGGAACACCAGUGGCGAAGGCGACUUUCUGGACUACAACUGACGCUGAGGCACGAAAGCGUGGGGAGCAAACAGG